RNAcentral lists this ribosomal RNA (239 nucleotides) under Streptococcus agalactiae. Its description in RNAcentral is "partial 16S ribosomal RNA". It matches the Rfam family "Bacterial small subunit ribosomal RNA", at positions 1 to 230 of the family's 1533-position model. Lineage: Bacteria; Bacillati; Bacillota; Bacilli; Lactobacillales; Streptococcaceae. The record is from RNAcentral.
UUUAAUGAGAGUUUGAUCCUGGCUCAGGACGAACGCUGGCGGCGUGCCUAAUACAUGCAAGUAGAACGCUGAUGUUUGGUGUUUACACUAGACUGAUGAGUUGCGAACGGGUGAGUAACGCGUAGGUAACCUGCCUCAUAGCGGGGGAUAACUAUUGGAAACGAUAGCUAAUACCGCAUAAGAGUAAUUAACACAUGUUAGUUAUUUAAAAGGAGCAAUUGCUUCACUGUGAGAUGGAC